CCAAUAGCGUAUAUUAAAGUUGUUGCAGUUAAAAAGCUCGUAAUUGAACUUCGGGGUCUACCCAUUGGUCAGGCUUAAUUGUCUGCACUGGUGAGAUGGAUCUCUACCGUCUGAGGAACUUUCAUGCCAUUUAUUUGGUGUGGUUGGAAAUCAGGACUGUUACUUUGAAAAAAUUAGAGUGUUUAAAGCAGACUAUCGUCUGAAUACAUUAGCAUGGAAUAAUGAAAUAGGACGGACUGAUUCUAUUUCGUUGGUUUCUAGGAUCACCGUAAUGAUUAAUAGGGAUAGUUGGGGGCAUUAGUAUUCAAUUGUCAGAGGUGAAAUUCUUGGAUUUAUUGAAGACUAACUACUGCGAAAGCAUUUGCCAAGGAUGUUUUCAUUAAUCAAGAACGAAAGUUAGGGGAUCGAAGACGAUCAGAUACCGUCGUAGUCUUAACCAUAAACUAUGCCGACUAGGGAUCGGACGAAGUUAAUUUUAUAAUGACGCGUUCGGCACCUUACG
RNAcentral lists this ribosomal RNA (502 nucleotides) under uncultured Glomeromycotina. RNAcentral's name for it is "partial small subunit ribosomal RNA". It matches the Rfam family "Eukaryotic small subunit ribosomal RNA", at positions 591 to 1092 of the family's 1831-position model. Lineage: Eukaryota; Fungi; Glomeromycota. The record is from RNAcentral.